GGAAGCUAGCAAACAACAGCCUACAGGGAGCAGCAUUGCAGGGCAACACUUUUCCACAAAGAGGAAGAAAUUGCUGUGCUCAGGUCCCCACCUUUCAGCAGUGAUUCUGUGAUGCAAGUUCCAGGAGUUUCUCUUUCUGUGACAAUCUUCCCUAUGGCCAUUUCUUGCUGAUGUUUGCCCCAGUGUUGGGCACAAGGAGGAAGGAUGCUGAAGAAUGGGUGCUCCACUUUUGGCUUUUAGAACAUGGGUACUUGUGUAAAGAUGCAGCUGUGAUCCUCGGCUGUGUGUCUCACCGAAGGGACCUGAUGUUUUACAUUAUUGGUGGGAUCACAGUGUUUGUGGUAGCUUUCUUCUUCACCAUUAAGUUCCUCUUUGAGCUUGCCGCACGUAUAGUCAGCUUCCUUCAGCAUGAGGACCGGGAACGCCGAGGGGAGCGAACUAUUUAUGACUACGUGCGAGGCAACUACCUGGAUCCCCGGUCCUGCAAAAUCUCCUGGGAUUGGAAGGACCCCUACGAGGUGGGCCAUAGCAUGGCCUUCCGAGUGCAUUUAUUCUAUAAAAAUGGGCAACCCUUCCCUGCUCACCGGCCUGUCGGGCUGCGAGUUCACAUCUGCCAUGUGGAGCUAGCAAUUGAUAUUCCUGUAACCCAGGAAGUUCUUCAGGAGCCUAAUUCCAAUGUGGUGAAAGUGGCCUUCACUGUGCGCAGGGCUGGGAGAUAUGAGAUCACUGUAAAACUCGGUGGCUUGAAUGUGGCCUACAGCCCCUACUACAAGGUGUUCCAGCCAGGGAUGGUGGUUCCCUCCAAAACCAAAAUUGUCUGCCAUUUUUCCACUCUGGUCCUGACCUGUGGGCAGCAGCAUACUCUGCAUAUAGCUCCCAGAGAUGAGUAUGACAAUCCCACCAGCAAUUCUGUGUCCUUGGUAGAUGAGCACAAUUACAGCCUUUCCAUCCAUGAGCUGGGUCCUCAAGAAGACGAGAGCUCUGAUGUUGUGUUUGAGAAGUCUGUGGUGUCCAAUCGGCAGACUUGUGAAGUGUUCUUCCGACUCACCUUGCACUGUAGAGGGUGUUUCCAUGCCUGCAUCUCCUACCAGAACCAGCCCAUAAGUAAUGGCGAUUUUGACAUCAUUGUUCUAAGUGAGAAUGAAAAGAACAUUGUAGAACGCAAUGUGUCCACCUCAGGUGUCAGUAUUUACUUUGAAGCCUACCUUUAUGAUGCUCCUAGUUAUACCAACACUCAGUGGCAACUUCCACCAAUGCACGUGAGUUCCUCCCAGCGCCGUCCUUCUACUGCAACUGAGGAUGAAGAUGAAGAUUCUUCUGCUGACAGCCAAACGCCUGAGAAAGUGAAGAAACCUAAAAAAGUGUACUGCUAUGUGUCACCUAAGCAAUUAUCAGUGAAAGAAUUUUACCUGAAGAUCAUUCCAUGGCGCCUUUUCACCUUUAGAGUAUGUCCUGGCACAAAGUUUUCAUACCUUGGCCCUGACCCUGUGCACAAAUUACUGACACUGGUGGUGGAUGAUGGGAUCCAACCUCCUGUGGAGCUCAGCUGCAAGGAGAGGAACAUCUUGGCAGCCACUUUCAUUCGCUCUCUGCAUAAAAACAUAGGAGGCUCAGAGACCUUCCAGGACAAAGUGAACUUCUUUCAGCGGGAGCUACGUCAGGUGCAUAUGAAAAGACCUCACUCAAAGGUCACACUGAAGGUCAGCCGUCACUGUCUGCUGGAGUCGUCUUUUAAAGCAACACGAAAUUUUUCUGUUUCUGACUGGAGCAAAAACUUCGAGGUGAUUUUUCAGGAUGAAGAAGCUCUGGACUGGGGAGGUCCACGCAGAGAGUGGUUUGAACUCAUCUGCAAGGCAUUAUUUGAUACCACCAAUCAACUCUUUACCCGCUUCAGUGAUAACAACCAGGCUUUGGUACAUCCAAACCCAGGCCGUCCCACAUAUUUACGGCUCAAAGUGUAUGAAUUUGCAGGCCGCCUAGUAGGAAAGUGUCUUUAUGAAUCAUCUCUGGGAGGUGCCUACAAACAACUGGUUCGAGCUCGCUUCACCCGAUCCUUCCUGGCUCAGAUCAUAGGACUUCGUAUGCAUUACAAGUAUUUUGAAACAGAUGACCCAGAAUUCUAUAAAUCCAAAGUUUGUUUCAUACUGAACAAUGAUGUGAGUGAGAUGGAUCUGGUCUUUGCUGAAGAGAAGUAUAGCAAAACAGGACAGCUGGAGAAGGUGGUGGAACUGGUGACAGGAGGGGCUCAAAUACCAGUGACCAAUGAAAACAAAAUCUUGUAUUUAAAUCUGCUUGCGCAGUACAGGCUGGCCAACCAGGUUAGAGAGGAGGUGGAUCACUUCCUGAAAGGUCUUAAUGAGUUAGUUCCUGAGAAUCUCCUGGCUAUUUUUGAUGAGAAUGAGCUUGAGUUGCUUAUGUGUGGUACUGGAGAUAUCAGUGUCUGUGAUUUCAAGGCACAUGCUGUGGUGGUAGGAGGAUCUUGGCACUUCCGUGAGAAGGUCAUGAGGUGGUUUUGGACCGUGGUCUCCAGUUUCACACAGGAAGAGCUGGCUAGGCUCUUGCAGUUCACAACUGGUUCCUCCCAGCUGCCUCCAGGAGGAUUUGCUGCACUCUGUCCAUCUUUCCAGAUCAUUGCGGCUCCAACUCACAGUACUUUGCCAACAGCCCACACUUGUUUUAACCAGCUGUGCCUCCCUACUUAUGACUCCUAUGAAGAAGUGCACAAGAUGCUGCAGCUAGCUAUCAGCGAGGGUUGUGAGGGCUUCGGCAUGCUGUGAUUUCCCCUUUUCAGGUGGCCAGUUAACCUCCUGGCUCUUCAUGGCAAGACCCAGGUUCAGUCCUAUGCUUGUUCUCCUUCCCUCCACAUGGGCAACGGAGGCAGAGCAAAGACUCCGUGUAAAGGAAUUAAUCAUCCAGAAGAUGUCACGUGGCCUUUCCAUAUCCCAAAUAUGUCAUCAAGAGCUCAUCUUUUCCUUUUCCCUCAUUCUCCCUUUGGUUCAAUGUGAAACAACAAUUGACUAUGGUGCAUUCAUCAAGGAGAUAUUGCACUUCAUUUCCAUGCACCGUGUAAGCCCAUCCCUCUCUGAAAAGAUGAAGUUCCUAAGCAGAAGUUACAAUGAGGUGCAGGAUAUCUGCUGAGUUGCCUUUAUUGUAGCUCUCUGAGAGGAAGAGGAAAGACCAGCAUGGAGCUCUGCUGGAAACGUGGCUCAUGGGAAGCCUUAGUAACUUCCCAUGUCUUGGCUCAACUCCCCCAGUGAUGCUCCCCAAUAGCUCAUCUAACUCUGACUCAUGAAGAGUAUAAGGUUGUCCAUCCUUUCAGUACCUGACACAGAAGGGUUUCUAGUUCUUCUUGCUCUGGAUGCUGCUGUCGCCUGUGCCACAGAGAAAAGUGGGCAGUAUCCACUGAAGGGAGUAACCCAAAGGGGAGAACAAUCUCAUUGGAGCACAAGUGCUGGCCCUGACAGUGAUCCUGUACUACCUCCACCAGGGUCUAGCAGCAGAAGCAUCCUCCAGCAGUGGCUGGUAAUGAGCCUCUGCAAAUGAACUGGAAGAGGAGUUUCUCCUCCAUUGAAUGUUUCUGACAGUUGAUGUUGCACAGAAAGCUGUCCUAUGCCCUUGCCUUCUUUUCCCUUCCUCAGGAGAGAGAGUAUGGGCAUGAGUGUGAUUCCUUAAUGCUGAGCACCAAUGCCUAUCCCACAUUCACCUUCAGGGAUGCAUGAUAUCAUCUGGCUGCCCACAUUGUGCGUCCUGAUCACCAGUGUCUUGUGAUGUCUUGGAGAGGGAGUGGGGACAGUGGUCUGUUGCUGACUUCACAGCCUCUAUUUAUCAUGGCAUCUGGCAUGGACUUAGGGCUGGGAGAGAAAUCAUGCCUGUAUGCUUCAUGCUGAAAUCCUACAUGCCCCAGCUUGUGUCUCCAGCAACAGUGAUGUCUUGGGAUUCUUGUUGCCACACGUGGCCACUUGAUGUGAGAUGUGCCAAGAUGUGCUGCUUGGGAAACUGGAUUUUUGUGCAUUCAGCUUUUUGUUUGCCUCACCUGUAGAACUGCUGCAAAGGAAUUUCUUCAGAUACCUGAAUGAGAAAAUGGAGAAAUGAUGCUUGAUUUGGGUAAGAGUUCUUGCUUUCAUAGUGUUAAGGCUGAGUUGAACCAAGCUGUAACUCCUGGUUCCCAUAGAGAAUGAUUAUAUUUUGCAUAGUUUUGGCUGUUCUGCUACCAUCGUGUGUCUGACUGACCUGGCACACGACAGCAGAAAGAGUUUGAACAUGUGAUUAUGGGAACUAUAAAAGGAAAACACGGGAAACAGCAAAGUCCAUCAGAAUAUCAGCCUGUCUUGGCAUCAGCUGUAUGAUUUAGAAUCUGAGACUAGAAUCUUCCUCUUAAAGUCUUUCCUUGUUUGUU
RNA transcript from Pezoporus occidentalis (night parrot), 4396 nucleotides. It is a transcript of the gene named apoptosis resistant E3 ubiquitin protein ligase 1, with no coding region annotated. Lineage: Eukaryota; Metazoa; Chordata; Aves; Psittaciformes; Psittacidae. The record is from RefSeq and is a predicted model, not a curated record. The transcript has 20 exons.